Centruroides sculpturatus (bark scorpion) is the source of this 394-nucleotide long non-coding RNA. RefSeq lists it as uncharacterized. The record is from RefSeq and is a predicted model, not a curated record. Lineage: Eukaryota; Metazoa; Arthropoda; Arachnida; Scorpiones; Buthidae. The transcript has 3 exons.
ACUUAACAAAACACAAAAACAAUGCAAUCGACGUCGAGCGAACGUAGGAAUCUCCUGUUCGGAGAAAAGGUGAAUAAAAUGCGCGGUAGGUGACGGUCAAGAAAGUCUGGAAUUGGAACAAGUGGAUGAGUAUCUAAAAAGAACUAAGGAGUCGAUGCAAUGAAAAUGUGAGGAAAUGUGAUAGAAAACGCAGAUUUGAAGCAAAAGAUGUGCAUCUGGAAAGGAAGGUCUGCAUAAGGAUAUAUCUGUAUCUACUUUUCUGCCAGCAUUACAAUAUUUUUCCUUUUUAUAUGUUGACAAACUCUUUAAAUCUUAACAUGAGUUCAGCCAGGCAAACAAUAGAAAAACUGAAUGAUGACGGGACACGAAAUAUCCGAGGUUAUCGACCUGCCUG